RNAcentral lists this ribosomal RNA (253 nucleotides) under uncultured bacterium. Its description in RNAcentral is "partial 16S ribosomal RNA". It matches the Rfam family "Bacterial small subunit ribosomal RNA", at positions 524 to 776 of the family's 1533-position model. The record is from RNAcentral.
UACGUAGGGCGCAAGCGUUGUCCGGAUUUAUUGGGCGUAAAGAGCUCGUAGGCGGUCUGUCACGUCGGCUGUGAAAACCCGAGGCUCAACCUCGGGCCUGCAGUCGAUACGGGCAGACUAGAGUGCGGUAGGGGAGACUGGAAUUCCUGGUGUAGCGGUGAAAUGCGCAGAUAUCAGGAGGAACACCGGUGGCGAAGGCGGGUCUCUGGGCCGUAACUGACGCUGAGGCGCGAAAGCCAGGGGAGCAAACGGG